This 55-nucleotide non-coding RNA is filed under the name unclassified sequences. Its description in RNAcentral is "L31-Actinobacteria ribosomal protein leader". It matches the Rfam family "L31-Actinobacteria ribosomal protein leader". The record is from RNAcentral.
GCGGUACCGGUUCACGUCUGCCCCGCCAGGCACGGAGCAAGGCGACCCGGCGACC